This 404-nucleotide ribosomal RNA is filed under the name Blastocystis hominis. RNAcentral's name for it is "SSU rRNA". It matches the Rfam family "Eukaryotic small subunit ribosomal RNA", at positions 530 to 945 of the family's 1831-position model. Lineage: Eukaryota; Bigyra; Opalinata; Blastocystidae. The record is from RNAcentral.
ACUCUUAUCGAUAAGCCAUUGGAGGGCAAGUCUGGUGCCAGCAGCCGCGGUAAUUCCAGCUCCAAUAGCGUAUAUUAACGUUGUUGCAGUUAAAAAGCUCGUAGUUGAAGUGAGGGAGUGUGUAGUAGGACCGACUUGAUCGGAACUGCUGCAACCUCCCCCCUCCAAUCGGUGUAGUGGGGUAUUCACUUAUUUCACUACUCCUUUGGUCGUUUACUGUGAGAAAAUUAGAGUGUUCAAAGCGGGCGUUUGUUUGAAUAGAUUAGCAUGGAAUAAUGAUUGAAGGCUUUCGUGUUCGAUUUGAUUGGUUUGUUCAUGGAAGCAAGGUUAAAAGGAACAGUUGGGGGUAUUCAUAUUCACUAGUUAGAGGUGAAAUUCUCGGAUUUAUGGAAGAUGAACAAGUG